GCCGGGGUAGUCUAGUCUGGUAAGGCGCAGUAAAUAACGCGUACGCCUGGAACUUCAUCCAGCCAGCCUGUGACCCUUCGGGGUCUCGUGGGUUCAAAUCCCACUCCCGGCG
RNAcentral lists this transfer RNA (112 nucleotides) under Nitrososphaerota archaeon. RNAcentral describes it as "Thaumarchaeota archaeon tRNA-OTHER". It matches the Rfam family "tRNA". From Rfam's summary of the family: Transfer RNA (tRNA) molecules are approximately 80 nucleotides in length. Their secondary structure includes four short double-helical elements and three loops (D, anti-codon, and T loops). Lineage: Archaea; Thermoproteati; Nitrososphaerota. The record is from RNAcentral. RNAcentral also lists the same sequence under 2 other names.